Triplophysa rosa is the source of this 463-nucleotide long non-coding RNA. RefSeq lists it as uncharacterized. The transcript is spliced from 3 exons. Lineage: Eukaryota; Metazoa; Chordata; Actinopteri; Cypriniformes; Nemacheilidae. The record is from RefSeq and is a predicted model, not a curated record.
GACUGGACUUAGCCCUGCAAUGUUUGAGAUAAUAACUGGACAAAUGAAUGGCAUACUUGAGCUGGAAGAUUGCCCUGACACAGAUGUCAUUGACAUUAUACAUCUACUCCAAAGACCAAAUGAACUUAAUGAUGAUGAGUGUGAGAGAAUAAAUGACCUGGCUGUCAGUUGGGAUCUGCCUACACUCACUGCUGAAAACAGACUGUGGCUAGUCCAAAGCAUUCUUCAACAUGCUGUCAUUGGCCGGCGAGAGAAGCAGAUGCAGCAGGUUGAAGAAAGGACUGAAGGAUACUGGGGUGUUGCGCAUGGUCAAGGAGCGACCUCCUCUCAUUGAUGUCCUAUUUCCACGAUCAUCAUCCCAGACAUGUGAUGCACAUGUAAUGUACCAUUAUGAGUACUGACCUUUUCUGUUUACUGUAGAAUAAAUAAUCAUUCUAUCCAAUGAUCAUAUAUAACAGUUUAA